Molecule: ribosomal RNA, 253 nt
Filed under: uncultured bacterium
Lineage: Bacteria
Description: partial 16S ribosomal RNA
Rfam family: Bacterial small subunit ribosomal RNA
Source: RNAcentral
UACGUAGGUGGCGAGCGUUGUCCGGAUUUACUGGGCGUAAAGGGCGUGCAGGCGGUUUGUUAAGUGCAGGGUGAAAGCUCCCGGCUCAACUGGGAGAGGUCCUUGCAUACUGGCGAACUCGAGGGAGGCAGAGGAAAGUGGAAUUCCCGGUGUAGUGGUGAUAUGCGUAGAUAUCGGGAGGAACACCUGUGGCGAAGGCGGCUGUCUGGGCCUUACCUGACGCUGAGACGCGAAAGCGUGGGGAGCGAACCGG